CAGUAGCCGCGGUAAUACAGAGGGUGCGAGCGUUAAUCGGAUUUACUGGGCGUAAAGCGUGCGUAGGCGGCUUUUUAAGUCGGAUGUGAAAUCCCUGAGCUUAACUUAGGAAUUGCAUUCGAUACUGGGAAGCUAGAGUAUGGGAGAGAAUGGUAGAAUUCCAGGUGUAGCGGUGAAAUGCGUAGAGAUCUGGAGGAAUACCGAUGGCGAAGGCAGCCAUCUGGCCUAAUACUGACGCUGAGGUACGAAAGCAUGGGGAGCAAACAGGAUUAGAUACCCCCGUAGUCCCUGUCUCUUAUAA
This 301-nucleotide ribosomal RNA is filed under the name uncultured bacterium. RNAcentral's name for it is "partial 16S ribosomal RNA". It matches the Rfam family "Bacterial small subunit ribosomal RNA", at positions 509 to 809 of the family's 1533-position model. The record is from RNAcentral.